AUGCUUUGCUUGCAGGUUUUUGACUCCAAAAUUCAGCGUGCCAUCCUGAGCCUUUUCCCUCUCCACAUGCUUCAUGCAGUUGUACUUUUGCAGUCUGCAGCCUUUUCCAAGAUGAUUAAAAAGAAAGAAUACAGAUGUGGUUUGGAGAUAGAGUUGGAAAAAAGCAGAAGUCCUGUUUCCAUAAGAGAUAGAGAAGGAAAAAGGCAUCUUUCAACAGAAGCAAGAAUAUGAGUAUAGACUUCAAGCAAGAAUGACUCUUUUGAGAGUAAAGAGUAAGAUGCUGUUGCCCUUCUACCUAGUUCUUUCCAUGGCUCUCAUCUUACUCAGAAUAAAGUAAAAAUCUUACCAUGGUGUGAUGGAUUCAGUUGUUCUUCCCAAUUCUCUGCUUCACAGUCAUAGAACUGUGCAUCCACACCUUUGUUAUGGUCUCAAGAACAGCUGUCAUUGACUUUAAGUUUUUCCAAAUGACUUGUUUAGGCCAAUGGGAUAUUAGCAGGUAAGACACAAGCAGAAGUUUGAAACGAGCUUGCAUCGUUACACUUACUCUCCUUGAACUCUGUGAUACGCUGUGUGAAGGAGAUGCCCGAGGUAGCCACUCACCAUUCAGCCUAGGUCCCAGAUUAAGCAUAUAUGGAGCAAACCUGGGAAUAAGGCCAGCUCACCCACUGCCUGAAAAAAAAAAUCACCAAGCCAAGCCCAGUAAAGAACAGAUGACUCACAGUCAACCUGAAGACCUAUAGCGAUAGCAUAAAUCAUUGUUAUAAGCCACUGAGGGAAUUAUUGAAACAGACAGUGGAAUGAUUAAUUACUCCAUUCCAGAAACAUUUAUUGAACACACAUUACAGCAGGGCACUGUAUUAGGUGAUUCAUGUGAUACAAAGCUGAACACCAUUGUGUUCCUUCUUUCAAAAUGCUUGCAGUAUUGUAAGGAAAAAUGGAUUAUUUUGCUUCACCAAUAGGGACUGAGGAGAGUAAUACUGGAGGCAGACUUGGUUGGAAGGAAAUCUAGGCAAGAGAUGAUGUAGGCUUUGAGAUAGGACAGUGGCAGUGGGAACAUAUCAAUUCAAUACACAGCACACAUCUACUCAUCAGACACUCUGCAAUGUGCUGUCAAUAAAAUGAUAACAUUUAUAUGAUUUCUGGGCUUCAGAAACUUACAAUCUAGUGAAGAAAAACAAGUUAAAGAGCAAGUAUAAUAGGAUAAAGAAAUGCCAUUAUACAGAAAUUUUCAAUUUUCUAUUUAAACAGCCAAAGAACCUUUUUUAUUUAUCCAUUCAUCUUUCUCUUAUAACAAUAAACAGUAAAUACCUGGAAUAUUCCAGGCACCAUAAAUUGCUGAUUUUGAAGGAUUAGUAAUAGGAGAUCUGCAGUAAGAAAAAAUGGAGAGAAUGGAGAUGGGUGAGAUGUUCCAUAUGGUGGAUACAGCACUACAGAGGCCAAGGACAUGACAAGGCGUGUUGAGCUUGUUGAAGACUUUUUGGUUCAGUUUGAUCUGAGCAGUGACUUCUGAGGCUGGCUAUAGGUUAAAUCAAGUCAAAAACAUAAAGUAACUUUUUAUUUUAUUAGUUUAUACUCUUAUGAUAGUAGUGAAG
Long non-coding RNA from Callithrix jacchus (white-tufted-ear marmoset), 1592 nucleotides. Lineage: Eukaryota; Metazoa; Chordata; Mammalia; Primates; Cebidae. The record is from Ensembl.